GAUGAACGCUGGCGGCGUGCUUAACACAUGCAAGUCGAACGGUGAGCACGGAGCUUGCUCUGUGGGAUCAGUGGCGAACGGGUGAGUAACACGUGAGCAACCUGCCCCUGACUCUGGGAUAAGCGCUGGAAACGGCGUCUAAUACUGGAUAUGUGACGUGACCGCAUGGUCUGCGUUUGGAAAGAUUUUUCGGUUGGGGAUGGGCUCGCGGCCUCUCAGCUUGUUGGUGAGGUAAUGGCUCACCAAGGCGUCGACGGGUAGCCGGCCUGAGAGGGUGACCGGCCACACUGGGACUGAGACACGGCCCAGACUCCUACGGGAGGCAGCAGUGGGGAAUAUUGCACAAUGGGCGCAAGCCUGAUGCAGCAACGCCGCGUGAGGGAUGACGGCCUUCGGGUUGUAAACCUCUUUUAGCAGGGAAGAAGCGAAAGUGACGGUACCUGCAGAAAAAGCGCCGGCUAACUACGUG
Molecule: ribosomal RNA, 469 nt
Filed under: uncultured bacterium
Lineage: Bacteria
Description: partial 16S ribosomal RNA
Rfam family: Bacterial small subunit ribosomal RNA
Source: RNAcentral